Non-coding RNA from Gossypium raimondii (Peruvian cotton), 87 nucleotides. Lineage: Eukaryota; Viridiplantae; Streptophyta; Magnoliopsida; Malvales; Malvaceae. The record is from Rfam.
CAAAAGGAAACGCUUUGUCCACUUGGAUAGAAAACGCGUCCUUGAGGGCGCGCUUUCUGUCCACGUGGACAAAGCGCUUCCUUGAGG